GACGAACGCUGGCGGCGUGCUUAACACAUGCAAGUCGAACGGAAAGGCCCUGCGUGUGUGGGGUUCUCGAGUGGCGAACGGGUGAGUAACACGUGAGUAACCUGCCCUUCACUUUGGGAUAACUUCAGGAAACUGGGGCUACUCCCGUAUAGCAUCUCCUGCUGCAUGGAGGGGGUUGGAAAGUUUAGGCGGUCGGGGCUGGACUCGGGGGUUAAGAGCUUGUUGGUUGGGUAGUUGCUUACCAAGGCUUUGACGGGUAGCCGGCCUGAGAGGGUGGCCGGCCACAUUGGGACUGAGAUACGGCCCAGACUCCUACGGGAGGCAGCAGUGGGGAAUAUUGCACAGUGGGCGGAAGCCUGAGGCAGCAACGCCGCGUGCGGGAUGACGGCCUUCGGGUUGUAAACCGCUUUCGCCUGUGACGAAGCGGGAGUGACGGUAAUGGAUAAAGAAGCACCGGCUAACUACGUG
RNAcentral lists this ribosomal RNA (468 nucleotides) under uncultured bacterium. Its description in RNAcentral is "partial 16S ribosomal RNA". It matches the Rfam family "Bacterial small subunit ribosomal RNA", at positions 28 to 507 of the family's 1533-position model. The record is from RNAcentral.